GGAGGGUGCAAGCAUUAAUCGGAAUUAUUGGGCGUAAAGGGCGCGUAGGUGGCAAUUUAAGUCAUAUGUGAAAUUCUGGGACUUAAUCCUGGAGCUGCGUAUGAAACUAAAUAGCUAGAGGUAAGGCGGAGAAAACGGAAUUUCCCGUGUAGCGGUGAAAUGCGUGGAUAUGGGAAGGAACACCGGAGGCGAAGGCGGUUUUCUAGCUUUUAACCUGACACUGAGGCGCGAAAGCGAGGGGAGCAAACAGGAUUAGAUACCCGUGGUAGUCCUUGCUGUAAACGUUGCAUACUUGAUGUAACAGGACUCAAUCCCCUGUUGUGUCGAAGCUAACGCGAUAAGUAUGCCGCCUGAGGAUACGCUCGCAAGGUG
RNAcentral lists this ribosomal RNA (372 nucleotides) under uncultured organism. Its description in RNAcentral is "partial 16S ribosomal RNA". It matches the Rfam family "Bacterial small subunit ribosomal RNA", at positions 527 to 896 of the family's 1533-position model. The record is from RNAcentral.